AGAGUUUGAUUAUGGCUCAGGAUAAACGCUGGCGGCGUGCAUAACACAUUCAAGUCGAACGGAGUUGCCAAGUAGCAAUAUGAAGCAACUUAGUGGCGGACGGGUGAGUAACGCAUGAGCAACCUGCCCUUGUGAGCGGAAUAACGUCGGGAAACCGACGCUAAUACGGCAUAACGCACAGAUACCGCAUGGUGACUGUGUCAAAGAUUUUUAUCGCACAAGGAUGGGCUCGUGUCCGAUUAGUCAGUUGGUGAGGUAACGGCUCACCAAAACCGCGAUCGGUAGCCGGACUGAGAGGUUGAACGGCCACAUUGGAACUGAGAAACGGUCCAGACUCCUACGGGAGGCAGCAGUGGGGAAUAUUGGGCAAUGGCGAAAGCCUGAACCCCCAGCGACGCCGCGUGAGGGAAGAAGGUCUUCGGAUUGUAAACCUCUGUUGACAGGGACGAAAGCGGGGCAACCCGCGUGACGGUACUUGUCGAGGAAGCCACGACUAACUACGUGCCAGCCGCCGC
Molecule: ribosomal RNA, 515 nt
Filed under: uncultured bacterium
Lineage: Bacteria
Description: bacterial SSU rRNA
Rfam family: Bacterial small subunit ribosomal RNA
Source: RNAcentral